UGACCUCAAAUCAGGUAGG
This 19-nucleotide ribosomal RNA is filed under the name Suillus bovinus. RNAcentral describes it as "partial 28S ribosomal RNA". Lineage: Eukaryota; Fungi; Basidiomycota; Agaricomycetes; Boletales; Suillaceae. The record is from RNAcentral. RNAcentral also lists the same sequence under 14 other names.